Molecule: ribosomal RNA, 385 nt
Filed under: uncultured bacterium
Lineage: Bacteria
Description: bacterial SSU rRNA
Rfam family: Bacterial small subunit ribosomal RNA
Source: RNAcentral
AAUGGGCGAAAGCCUGAUCCAGCCAUGCCGCGUGGAUGAUGAAGGCCCUAGGGUUGUAAAAUCCUUUCGUUGGGGACGAUAAUGACGGUACCCAAAGAAGAAGCUCCGGCUAACUUCGUGCCAGCAGCCGCGGUAAUACGAAGGGGGCUAGCGUUGUUCGGAUUUACUGGGCGUAAAGCGCGUGUAGGCGGGUCGUUAAGUUGGGGGUGAAAUCCCGAGGCUCAACCUCGGAACUGCCUUCAAAACUGGCGACCUGGACCCAAGUAGAGGCAAGUGGAAUUGCGAGUGUAGAGGUGAAAUUCGUAGAUAUUCGCAGGAACACCAGUGGCGAAGGCGACUUGCUGGACUUGUGGUGACGCUGAGACGCGAAAGCGUGGGGAGCAAA